Molecule: non-coding RNA, 1461 nt
Organism: Pocillopora verrucosa
Lineage: Eukaryota; Metazoa; Cnidaria; Anthozoa; Scleractinia; Pocilloporidae
Source: RefSeq, a predicted model, not a curated record
UUUUGGGUAAUUCCAGACACUUCCUUGAUUUGAAGAAACACAGAUGAUUGUAGUUAGGAACCUUAGAACAGGUGCAGGUCAAUGCUCCAGAGCGUUUAAAAUCUCCCGAAACAUUAUUAUGGCUGAAAGCUCUUUUCACACAACUAGCUGUAACAAAGCAGAGUUUCGCGAUCUACUCCAAAAGGCAAAGAACGUUGUUGUUCUAACUGGAGCAGGUACUAGUGCUGAGAGUGGGAUUCCAACAUUUCGAGGCUCCGGUGGUCUUUGGAGAACUUUCAGAGCUCAAGAUCUUGCGACUCUCGAAGCAUUUCGUAGAAAUCCGUCAUUAGUAUGGGAGUUUUAUAGUUACAGGCGAGAAGUUGUCCUCACGAAACAACCAAACAAGGCGCAUUAUGCUAUUGCAGAGUUGCAGAAAAAGUUUGGAGAACAAGGUAGAAAUGUCGCCGUGAUAACACAGAAUAUUGAUGGAUUACAUCAGGCUGCUGGGACAAAAGAAGUAAUAGAACUUCAUGGGGCACUGUUUAAGACAAGAUGUACUGUAUGUGGACAUGUAACAGAAAAUAGGAACAGUCCAAUUGUACCCGCUUUAGCUGGGAAAGGAGCACCUGAUCCUGAUGCCCAGGAUGCAAAGAUUCCGAAGAAAGAUCUACCCAGGUGUGUCCAGCCCAAUUGUGGACAAUUGGCCCGUCCUCAUGUUGUGUGGUUUGGAGAAAAUCUAGACUACAAUGUAUUGAAAGCUACAAACAAUGCCUUGGAAAAGUGUGAUAUGUGUCUUUUGGUUGGUACAUCAUCUGUGGUGUACCCAGCUGCAGGAUUUGCGCCAAUGUUGGCCGCCAGAGGAGUCCCAGUUGCAGAAUUCAACAUGGAAGAGACAACAUGCACUGGAGAAUUCAGGUUCCAUUUUCAGGGUCCAGCUGGUGAAACUCUUCCUCCUUUACUUGCAGAGAAGUGAGACUCGGCAGAGUUUCCAUAAUAUUGGUCGCUAUCACAACAGGGUCAACAUCAGCCCUUCUCCAUCCAGAUCAAAGGCUUGGCAACUAAGUACACAACUGUAAAAUGGCCUCUUACAGAAAAGAGAAUUACAGAUGUGCUCUGAGUGACAAGUACUGGUUGUAAGACUCUUUUUAGAGCAGCGUCUCUUGCAUUGACUGGCUAUUAACAAUUAUUUGUCAUACAUAAUUAGUUGUCAUGUAAAUAAAAACAAUAUGGCUAGUUUUGAACACUAUGCCCAUAAAUAUUGCACGUUUAGAGACAAAUAAAUGUUGAAAAAAUUGGUUUGCAAAUUUGAUCCAGCCUUGUAUCAGAAUGAUUAAUUUUAACCAGCAACUUUGCCCUUUGUCAUCACCGAUUAUAACACUAUCCACUUUCAACUGAUGUUAAUUAUAGGAUUCAACCAUUUACAUUUUAAGCGCUGAGAACUAAAUUAUGUUUUUUCCUGAAAAUACACACUUGUUUGGACGG